UACGAAGGGGGGCUAGCGUUGUUCGGAAUUACUGGGCGUAAAGCGCGCGCAGGCGGCUAUCCAAGUCAGUGGUGAAAGCCCGGAGCUCAACUCCCGGAACUGCCCAUUGAAACUGUUUAGCUUGAGGACGAGAGAGGUGAGUGGAAAUUCCCCAGUGUAGAGGUGAAAUUCGUAGAUAUUGGGAAGAACACCCGGUGGCGAAGGCGGCUCACUGGCUCGUAUCUGACGCUCAGGCGCGACAGCGUGGGGAUCAAACAGG
Molecule: ribosomal RNA, 259 nt
Filed under: uncultured bacterium
Lineage: Bacteria
Description: partial 16S ribosomal RNA
Rfam family: Bacterial small subunit ribosomal RNA
Source: RNAcentral